CUGAACUCAAGGCUCAGGAUCUUCAAGUACAGAACCUGAGACCAGAUGUAUUAUAAGACUGGAUCACUAUUUCAAUAAACCUAUUUCUUUUUAGCUUCAAGACUUGAUUUUUAUUUUUUGUUUCUUAGCUAAGAAAUUUUUUGCCACAAUUUUGGUGACACCAAUAUAAUUAGGCAGAAAUGCUGACCCUAAUGGUUCACUUCUCCAAGAAGGGAUUGUCUUUUUGGAUGCAUGAAUCUGGGGCUAUUUGCCUUUGGUCCCUUCUUGAAGGGGAGAUCAAGGAAGAAAGAUUCUUUGCCCAUUUGGACAUCCUUCAAGCUGAUGAGAUUUGGGCAAAAUCUCCAACUAAUUUGGGACCAUUUAAAUCAGCCAUCCCAAUCUCUAUUGCCACCAAAGGAGUAAAAUCAUGGUUUAUACUUCAAUAUCUACUGUCUAAGGAGAAAUACAUCAGGAGAUCUACGUCCACCCUGUACAACUAAUUAGAAAAGAUAUUUGGCAUUUCAAGUUUCCUGAAUUUGUUUCCCCAGCCUUACUGAGUCUCCUACAAAGGUGAGUGCGCAAGUUGUCCAGUGUUUACUUCUUUCUCCUAGCCCAUCCCACUCACCCUCUUCCCAUCCCACAAACCAGUCCUUCCUUUGAAUUGCAGACCUUCUGCUGCCUUCUCCCCAGAUUCUCUAGCCAUGAAUCAAGGAAAGGACAUGAAAAAGCACAGCAGCUUUAGCUAAUCAGAACACUCACAUGAAAUCAGUUUUGCCCUUCUCUCUAUUACCCACCCGUAAUGUUCUGUCUCUUUAAAUUCUCAGCCUUGUACCCUCAAAUUCGUUUUCCUUACUAACCAAAAACAAAUUUCUCUAAACAGAUCAACUUGGUUAUGCGCAUCAUUGGUUGCUUUUUCUCUAUUGACAUAAAACUCUUUGUAGUCAAGAGGCGCCUCCAAAAGCUCUGGCUUCCAGACACAACUUCUAAGCACAAAAAGUUCCCCCAGGCCCAGCUG
RNAcentral lists this long non-coding RNA (994 nucleotides) under Monodelphis domestica (gray short-tailed opossum). Its description in RNAcentral is "lncRNA (ENSMODG00000033917.2)". Lineage: Eukaryota; Metazoa; Chordata; Mammalia; Didelphimorphia; Didelphidae. The record is from RNAcentral.